GUCCAAAAUACAGUGAUGUUGUCUUUUCCAAGCACACAUGUGAUUGCUCUGUGUGGAAAAUGACUGUUCCUGAGAGAUUUUUUGGAU
Molecule: small nucleolar RNA, 87 nt
Filed under: Balearica regulorum gibbericeps (East African grey crowned-crane)
Lineage: Eukaryota; Metazoa; Chordata; Aves; Gruiformes; Gruidae
Description: Balearica pavonina gibbericeps Small nucleolar RNA SNORD121A
Rfam family: Small nucleolar RNA SNORD121A
Source: Rfam by way of RNAcentral